UCGAAAACAAAUAUUAAAGGCACGCCCUGCCCCAGGUGGACAAUUUAACGGCCGCGGUACCCUAACCGUGCAAAGGUAGCACAAUCAUUUGUCUAUUAAUUGUAGACCUGUAUGAAAGGCUAAACGAGGGCCUAUCUGUCUCUUGUAGUAAAUCAAUUAAACUGAUCUCCCAGUCCAAAAGCUGAGAUACCAACAUAAGACCAGAAGACCCUGUGAAGCUUAAACUAAACUAUUAAAUCUCAUAAUAGCUCCUUUCGGUUGGGGCGACCUUGGAAAAAAAAAGAACUUCCAAACACACUGACUUUAGUCAUCCCAGGCCAACAAGCCUAACAACGACCCAGCACAGCUGACAAUUGAACCAAGUUACUCCAGGGAUAACAGCGCUAUCUUCUUCAAGAGCCCAUAUCAAAAAGAAGGUUUACGACCUCGAUGUUGGAUCAGGACAUCCUAAUGGUGCAUGCCGCUAUUAAGGGUUCGUUUGUUCAACGAUUAACAGUCCCACGUGAUCUGAGUUCAGACCGGACGUUUGUUCCAGGAUUAACCCUACGUGAUCUGAGUUCAGA
RNAcentral lists this ribosomal RNA (563 nucleotides) under Naja sumatrana. RNAcentral's name for it is "partial 16S ribosomal RNA". It matches the Rfam family "Bacterial large subunit ribosomal RNA", at positions 1893 to 2635 of the family's 2925-position model. The record is from RNAcentral. Lineage: Eukaryota; Metazoa; Chordata; Lepidosauria; Squamata; Elapidae.